CUACGGGAGGCACCAGUGAGGAAUUUUGCGCAAUGGGGGAAACCCUGACGCAGCAACGCCGCGUGAGUGAUGAAGGCCUUCGGGUCGUAAAGCUCUGUCAAGUGGGAAGAACCUACCUAUGGGUAAUAUUCAUGGGUACUGACGGUACCACUGAAGGAAGCACCGGCUAACUCCGUGCCAGCAGCCGCGGUAAUACGGGGGGUGCAAGCGUUAUUCGGAAUUAUUGGGCGUAAAGGGCGCGUAGGCGGUCUUGUUAGUCAGAUGGGAAAGCCCGGGGCUCAACCCCGGAAGUGCAUUUGAUACUGCAAGACUUGAGUAUGGGAGAGGGAAGUGGAAUUCCUGGUGUAGAGGUGAAAUUCGUAGAUAUCAGGAGGAACAUCUGUGGCGAAGGCGACUUCCUGGACCAAUACUGACGCUGAGGCGCGAAGGCGUGGGUAGCAAACAGGAUUAGAUACCCCAGUAGUC
RNAcentral lists this ribosomal RNA (465 nucleotides) under uncultured bacterium. RNAcentral describes it as "partial 16S ribosomal RNA". It matches the Rfam family "Bacterial small subunit ribosomal RNA", at positions 339 to 795 of the family's 1533-position model. The record is from RNAcentral.